This is a small nuclear RNA of Physeter macrocephalus (sperm whale), 165 nucleotides long. Its record names the gene U1. It matches the Rfam family "U1 spliceosomal RNA". Rfam says of the family: U1 is a small nuclear RNA (snRNA) component of the spliceosome (involved in pre-mRNA splicing). Lineage: Eukaryota; Metazoa; Chordata; Mammalia; Artiodactyla; Physeteridae. The record is from Ensembl.
AUACUUACCUGGCAGGGGAGAUACCAUGAUCUCACGAAGGUCGUUUUCCCAGGGUGAGGCUUAUCCAUUGCACUCUGGAUGUGCUGACCCCUGUGAUUUCCCCAAAUGUGGGAAAUUGACUGCAUAAUCUGUGGUAGUGGAGGACUGUGUUUCUGCUUUCCCCUG